RNAcentral lists this long non-coding RNA (211 nucleotides) under Brassica napus (rape). Its description in RNAcentral is "long non-coding RNA (BNAP_LNC012930)". The record is from RNAcentral. Lineage: Eukaryota; Viridiplantae; Streptophyta; Magnoliopsida; Brassicales; Brassicaceae.
AAUUGGGGAAAAAGAAGGCCGCGAAAGUCUAUUGGAAUAGAAAAAUGAGUGAUCUCUCAAAAGGGAGAUAAUUCGUCUAUCAAAGACUUUUUGAGAUCAUCCUCACCUUGCAAGCUCUGAUAUUCAGUAGCGCAAAUGCAGAACAGAAAAAAGUUUGCAUGUCAUCAACAUAAGUAAAACACCUCUUACAGAUAAAAAAAGAAGAGCAUUG